UGGGGAAUAUUGCACAAUGGGCGCAAGCCUGAUGCAGCAACGCCGCGUGAGGGAUGACGGCCUUCGGGUUGUAAACCUCUUUUAGUAGGGAAGAAGCGAAAGUGACGGUACCUGCAGAAAAAGCACCGGCUAACUACGUGCCAGCAGCCGCGGUAAUACGUAGGGUGCGAGCGUUGUCCGGAAUUAUUGGGCGUAAAGAGCUCGUAGGCGGUCUGUCGCGUCUGCUGUGAAAACCCGAGGCUCAACCUCGGGCCUGCAGUGGGUACGGGCAGACUAGAGUGCGGUAGGGGAGAAUGGAAUUCCUGGUGUAGCGGUGGAAUGCGCAGAUAUCAGGAGGAACACCGAUGGCGAAGGCAGUUCUCUGGGCCGUAACUGACGCUGAGGAGCGAAAGCGUGGGGAGCGAACAGGAUUAGAUACCCUGGUAGUCCACGCCGUAAACGUUGGGCGCUAGAUGUGGGGACCAUUCCACGGUUUCCGUGUCGCAGCUAACGCAUUAAGCGCCCCGCCUGGGGAGUACGGCCGCAA
RNAcentral lists this ribosomal RNA (526 nucleotides) under uncultured bacterium. RNAcentral describes it as "partial 16S ribosomal RNA". It matches the Rfam family "Bacterial small subunit ribosomal RNA", at positions 355 to 891 of the family's 1533-position model. The record is from RNAcentral.